GACGAACGCUGGCGGCGUGCUUAACACAUGCAAGUCGAACGGAAAGGCCCUGCUUUUGUGGGGUGCUCGAGUGGCGAACGGGUGAGUAACACGUGAGUAACCUGCCCUUGACUUUGGGAUAACUUCAGGAAACUGGGGCUAAUACCGGAUAGGAGCUCCUGCUGCAUGGUGGGGGUUGGAAAGUUUCGGCGGUUGGGGAUGGACUCGCGGCUUAUCAGCUCGUUGGUGGGGUAGUGGCUUACCAAGGCUUUGACGGGUAGCCGGCCUGAGAGGGUGACCGGCCACAUUGGGACUGAGAUACGGCCCAGACUCCUACGGGAGGCAGCAGUGGGGAAUAUUGCACAAUGGGCGGAAGCCUGAUGCAGCAACGCCGCGUGCGGGAUGACGGCCUUCGUGUUGUAAACCGCUUUCGCUUGUGACGAAGCGUGAGUGACGGUAAUGGGUAAAGAAGCACCGGCUAACUACGUG
This 468-nucleotide ribosomal RNA is filed under the name uncultured bacterium. RNAcentral describes it as "partial 16S ribosomal RNA". It matches the Rfam family "Bacterial small subunit ribosomal RNA", at positions 28 to 507 of the family's 1533-position model. The record is from RNAcentral.